GAAAUUUAUGGUUGUUUCUCGAUUUUUUCACGAUAAAGUUUCAACGAUUACUCUCAUUCUUCUCAUUCAACCAUUACUCUGCGACGCUUGAGCUUCUCCAAGAUUUAUGGAAAGAGGCGAGUGGAGAGAAACUGCUGCGUGGAUGUUAAAGGUUUGGAUCGUUGAAGUUUUGAUGAGUUGAUGAAGAUAUGAUGUUUGAUGAACCGUUGAAAGUUGUUGUGUUGGUUUUGUGAAGGAAACUGAUGCUAUGAUGUUAAUUUGUGAGUUUGUGCAAAAUCGGGGUUCAGUUUAUGCAGGUUUGAUGCAUUUGUGAGGAAACUUUGUUGACUUGAUAAAGUUGAUGUUAUGAGAGCUUUGAUGUUUGGAAUUAGUGAGAUCUUUAUGAUUUUUAUUUUUUCCUACUCUUUGAAUCUUUGUGGUUUUACAGAUCCUUUGUCCUCUUCUACAUAUCUGAAGGGUUUGUGUGAAAUGGGAAAAUGGUGAUGAACAUUUUUGGGUUUGUGAUGAAUUUAGGGUUUAUGAUAUCAACUAAUUUCUUCUUCCAUUUGGGUUUCUUCUUCUUUGAAUCUUUGUGGUUUUACAGUAUUUAAAUUUGGUUGGACUGGAUUUCUUAGGCUAAGGUAUGAACCAAUUUUUGUCAGGUACAGACCUUAUGAUGAUACAUCUAUCAAAAUAAAGAUUGAUCUGCUUCAUAAAGAGAUCAGCAAGAAAAAUCAAGCUCGGUUUCUAAUCACCGAAGCACUGAAGGCAAGGCGGGACACCUUUUCUUCCUCUCCAUGUACUUUAGUGCGAUCAUCAAUGCAAGCUGUCGUCGGAGAUGCUUUUCAUUUGCCAGAAUUUGGUA
Vicia villosa (hairy vetch) is the source of this 844-nucleotide long non-coding RNA. RefSeq lists it as uncharacterized. The record is from RefSeq and is a predicted model, not a curated record. Lineage: Eukaryota; Viridiplantae; Streptophyta; Magnoliopsida; Fabales; Fabaceae. The transcript has 3 exons.